This 967-nucleotide ribosomal RNA is filed under the name Neolinocarpon arengae. Its description in RNAcentral is "partial 28S ribosomal RNA". It matches the Rfam family "Eukaryotic large subunit ribosomal RNA", at positions 66 to 930 of the family's 3401-position model. Lineage: Eukaryota; Fungi; Ascomycota; Sordariomycetes; Chaetosphaeriales; Linocarpaceae. The record is from RNAcentral.
CAACAGGGAUUGCCCCAGUAGCGGCGAGCGAAGCGGCAACGGCCCAAAUUUGAAAUCCGGCCCCCCCCGGGCCCGAGUUGUAAUUUGCAGAGGACGCUUCCGGCCCGGCCCCCUCCGAGUCCCCUGGAACGGGGCGCCGCAGAGGGUGAGAGCCCCGUACGGUCGGGCGCCGGCGCCGGUGCGAAGCUCCUUCGACGAGUCGAGUAGUUUGGGAAUGCUGCUCAAAACGGGAGGUAAAUUCCUUCCAAGGCUAAAUACCGGCUGGAGACCGAUAGCGCACAAGUAGAGUGAUCGAAAGAUGAAAAGCACUUUGGAAAGAGGGUUAAACAGCACGUGAAAUUGUUGAAAGGGAAGCGCCCGUGGCCAGACUUGGGGCGGGCCGAUCCCCCGGCGCCCGCGCCGGGGCCCUCGGCCCGGCCCAGGCCAGCGUCGGGUCCCGCGGGGGGACGAAGGCCCCGGGAACGUGGCUCCCCACGGGGAGUGUUACAGCCCGGGGCGCAACGCCCCCGCGGGGCCCGAGGUCCGCGCCCCGCAAGGACGCUGGCGUAAUGGCCCCCGGCGACCCGUCUUGAAACACGGACCAAGGAGUCAAGGUUCUGCGCGAGUGUCUGGGUGCCAAGCCCGCACGCGGAAUGAAAGUGAACGCAGGUGGGAGCUUCGGCGCACCACCGACCGGUCCUGAAGUCCUCGGAUGGAUCUGAGUAGGAGCGCAGCGCCUUGGACCCGAAAGGUAAGCGCCGCCCCGCCCCCCGCCCCCCACCCCCCGCGCCGCCGGCGAGGACGACAACGCUAACAGAACGCAGAUGGUGAACUAUGCUUGGAUAGGGUGAAGCCAGAGGAAACUCUGGUGGAGGCUCGCAGCGGUUCUGACGUGCAAAUCGAUCGUCAAAUCUGAGCAUGGGGGCGAAAGUGAGUGACAACCCCCCCCGGAACGCCGUCGCCGCCGGGCAAAAAGCUACACACCUCA